CGAGGAAGUUUUUGCAUGAACAAUGACAGGCACAUUAAGUUAGAGACAAAGGUAAGGUACAACUCUCGCACACCAAGUCAAGAUCCCUACUGUGGGAAGCUCCAUCGCCUGCGGUCUGGAAAUGCAAUGUGGACGAUACAAUUUUUUAUGCAGGUUAUGAGGCAGGAUAGGGAGCAGUCAUCUGAGACUCGGCAGAAAAAGUAUUGAUGGUUUUCUCUGGCAGGUUAUGAGGGUGUCG
Molecule: long non-coding RNA, 238 nt
Filed under: Carica papaya (papaya)
Lineage: Eukaryota; Viridiplantae; Streptophyta; Magnoliopsida; Brassicales; Caricaceae
Description: long non-coding RNA (CPAP_LNC015297)
Source: RNAcentral